This is a non-coding RNA of Nothobranchius furzeri (turquoise killifish), 3292 nucleotides long. NCBI's taxonomy places the organism in Eukaryota, Metazoa, Chordata, Actinopteri, Cyprinodontiformes, Nothobranchiidae. The record is from RefSeq and is a predicted model, not a curated record.
CAACAUCCUCCGUGUGGAGUCUCUCCAGCUUGCACAUUAAGCUUUUGUUUCCUUCUUUUCACAAAAUGAACGGAUCCUCGUUUAUCCAAUGGACCGAAGGGUGGGAGGAGCAACGCGCUGGGAUGGCACUCAGUUUCUCUUUUAAUCCGUUUCAGUCUUUUCUUAAAUUAAGUCUGUUUAACAAAAAGGCGAGAAAGGAAUUCUGCAGUGCAGACCGGUGUAAUAACACAGCUGGUGUGCAAGACGGCGCAAACUGGUGCAGCGUUAUUAUUCAGCAACCGUUACGCCGCCCGAGUCGGUGGAUUUGAAACCACUUAGAAGUUUUUGUUUAUAGGAAAUCUGUUCAUGUCUGCCCCAAAAAGAUGUCGGCUCCUGGUUCAUUAAAGACACAUUUUAUUUUAUUUUCCAUGUGAGAAAAGUCAUUGAAAAUAUCCCAGAGUGCCAGACUCUGAAUUUCAGGAUGAUUCCUGCAUCCGCUGGCCUAAAGCCGCUGGUUCGUGGCUAGUAGGAGUCACAAAACCACAAAAAAGCAAAUUUUCUGCUAAAAUCGCAAAGAAUUGGGAAGUUGGACACGUUUACGUGAUAAUCCAACUACCAUUCAGGGGGCUGCAAUUUUAAAACGGUUAUGGAUGAGAGUCUAAAGCCUCAGAUGUUGGCUGUUCUAUCUGAUGGAGGUUAAAAAUGCCAAAAGCUUCCUGUCAGUAGCUUUUUCAGUUUGUGUAAUUUUUAAGGACGACGGGAUAAGGAUGAGACGGGUUUAAUAAUAAUAAUAAUAAUAAUAGUAAUAAUAAUAAUAGCCUUUAUUGUCAUUGUACAGGAUACAACGAAAUUGGAGUGCCACUCCCUUGGUGCACAAUACAAAAAUACUUCUAAAUAUAAAAGGUCCCCUAAAACAAAACAAUAAGAUCGCCCUGGGAAAGAAGCUAUCCCUGGAUCUGUUUGACCUGGUUUUAUGUGACCUGUACCAUCGACCUGAUGGUAAUAGUUGAAAGACUUGAUUGCUGGGGUGAGACUGAUUCUUGAUAUUACUCGCUCUGCUGAGGUACCGAGAGUUUGCAAUGACCUCCGGGCUGGACAGAGAGCAGCCAGUGAUCUUCUGGGCUGUGUUGACGACCCUCUGCAGUACUUUCCUGUCUGCAGCUGAGCACCCUGCAUACCAUGCUGUUAUGAUGCUUUCUAUGGUGGCUCUGUAGAAAGUCGCCAGCAGCCUCUCCUCCAGGUUGUUCCUCCUGAGCACUCUCAGAAAGUGGAGAUGCUGCUGGGCCUUUUUUACCACUGCCGUGGUUUAGCUUCUCUUCUUGUGUUUUUUUAAGAUUCUGGAUUGACCCUUUGCACGUGACGUCUCGCCACUCAUGUGACCGCCCCCUUCACCAUGAUGGACGGCAAAAAGGCCGUUUACACCCGUAGAAACUCCAGUGAAGCUAGUCAAAACAAGCCAGUUUGUAGCCGUUUAUCGCUUUUAUUUAGUUGAUUUGACAGUAAAAUGGUUUUAGCUUGCUGCGUGGUCGGCUGCACUAACAGACAAGGACGUAAACUCAACUCGUUUUUUCUUCUUAAUAACUUUGAUGGAGACUGAGGACGAAGAUGAACUAUACUAGUUAGUGAUAAUCCUGAUGGAUGGGUAUUUCACCACGGAGGCUGCGCGCCGUCCACUGUAGUGUAAAGCGAGACAAUUAUUAACAAUAUUAAAGCUCCGAUGUAGGAUUACGUGUGUUAAAAUGACGUUAUUUAUUUAUUUAUACGAGCGUCGGCGUUCAGAGAUCUUCUCAUUCCGGUGUGAGAGCAGCAGCUGAACCCGGUAACACCACCAGCAACAGAAGCUGGUAGGGAUCCGGACUUUUUAACAAUCAGCUUUGGUGUAAAGUGAAACGCUGUUUAUAACAUAGUUAUAAAUCCAGAGGGGUGAAUUUAGGCAAAGUCAGCGACAUGUUUACAUCGGUGAACAGCUGCAGAGAGAACGUAAGCUAACGUUGGUAAGCUAGUUAGCAUACCGCUCUCUAUGAGCCCCCGCUAGAUGCGCUACUUCCUCUGAUAACUGAACUGGGCAUGAACUAGUUGAAGGAAUGACUUGUGUCAAGCCAGCCUCCAGUUUAUUGUCGGUUCCCGUCUACUCAAAGUAUUACGGGAAGGGAUGUGGAAACCGGAUUUCAAAAGAAAAGGAAGCUUCGUGUGAAUUGGCAGAUAUUUUAAGAACAUAAUAACUUAUAAUUUCGGCUUGUUCACUAUUAGCGGCCUGUCAAUAUCAAGGCCAUCUUAUUUUGGAUUUCAAAGUAAAAGCCCUGUGAAUUUUCAACUCAGUCUGAUGUUGCCUUCCAAAAUAAAAGCCCUUUCAAAUUGUCCAUAAUUGACCUAACUUUCAGUGAUUUCAAAAUGCUCUAAAAUGGAAAAUUGCUGUUUCCACAGGGUAAUUCCACUUCAGAUCAACAGUAUACAACCCCACAGUGAUACCGUAUCAAUAUCAAGUCAUUCUGAUGUUGCCUUCCAAAAUAAAGGCCUUUUUAAAUUGCCCAUAUACGACCUAACUUUCAGUGAAUUCAAGAAGAAAGAGAUCGCGGAUACAAGCAACCAAAAUGAGUUUCCUUCAGAAGGUGGCUGGGCUCAGCCGUAGAGCCACAGCUCCUCCACAUUGAGAGGAGCCAGCAGAGUUGGUUCAGGUAUCUAGUCGGGAUGCCACCUGGACGCCUUCCUGAGGUGGUGUUUCGGGCAUGUCCUGCCGGCAGGAGGCCCCCGGGUCGAUCCAAGACACGUUGGAGCAAAUACGUCUCCAAUCUGGCCCAGGAACGCCUUGGGGUCCUGCUGGUAGAGGUGGCCGGGGAGAGGGUCUGGGAUGCCCUACUUGAGAUGCGACCCGGACCCGGAUAGGCAAAAGAAAAUGAACGGAUAUCAGGAGAAAAGCUAAUAUCAGGCACCCCUAAUAAUUAGUUUUCAAAUUGGUAAAAAAAAAAAAAAACAUUUGAGGGAACUGGAAUUAAGGAUUUUAAUUUCUUGUCUUAUUAUUCCUGAUUAUUUAUGUUUUCUUCUGGCCAGCAAACAUGUCAGGUUCUUUAGUGCAGGUGAAAAACGUAGCAUAGCUGCCGGAGGUUAGGUAGGUGGGGGGUAAUUUACAGGUGGGCGGGGUGCAUAGCACUCUGUAGGAAUACUCAGAAGUGUGUGUGUGUGUGUGUGUGUGUGUGUGUGUGUGUGUGUGUGUGUGUGUGUGUGUGUGUGUGUGUGUGUGUGUGUGUGUGUGUGUGUGUGUGUGUGUGUGUGUGUGUGUGUGUGUGUGUGUGUGUGUGUGUGUGUGUGUGAGAUG